Molecule: RNA transcript, 946 nt
Organism: Eriocheir sinensis (Chinese mitten crab)
Lineage: Eukaryota; Metazoa; Arthropoda; Malacostraca; Decapoda; Varunidae
Exons: 8
Source: RefSeq, a predicted model, not a curated record
AGCCAUCAGUGAGUGCCGAGCAGCUGACGGUGGACCUGGUAAUUACCUGUGAGAAGGUGGGCACCACCCAGCCCCUCUGACCACAGCAGCAAAGACCAGUGCCAUGUCUUGCCUGCCCAGUCCCUUGCUGUCAUGCAGACCCCCUCAUAGAAAGUGAGCGACAUAACCUCCUGACUGAGCUGGUCCAGGAGGUGGUGGUCCUGCAAUGCCUAUGAGCGAUGGGACAACAACCAAAUCCCUGGCCCACAGCUGCGCUACCUCACCUCCCACACAACAGAGGAGGACGUGCUACUCUCACUUGGGGCCUUGGAGCUGGAGAACACAAAGGAAGAACAAACAUCAGCAGACCUGAUGGUUCUUACGAGGCUGUUUGUGACAAGCUACACUAACUAUCUAAUCAAAGGUGGAAGAUGAGGGACAGCAAGAUGAAGAAGCGUCUCUCAGCCCUUCCUCUCGGGUGCCGGCUUUGUCAAACUCUUCAUGGAAAUUUGCACUGACCUCAUCAUGCCAGAGACUGGGCAUGCACAAGGCCACCCAUUGUAGUAGCAGUGUUGUGUUCCCCCAGUGACCUGCCGACCACUGUGCUGCUGAUCAAGCUUGUGGAGGAGGGAGACAGUGCGAUGGGCACAGUCAUGCUGCUCAACUUUCUCAAUGCUUGGAAGGUCCAGGAGAAAGCUGCAACAUGGACGAUGCCUUUUCUUGGAAAAAUAUGUUUUGGAGCCCAACACCACAGAGGUUGCCAGGAGUGAAAUUUUUAUAUUCAAAAGAGCCGUCCAGCUGCCCCGGAGAGCCCAGCGACCACACCCUGCAAGACAGCCUGCUCAUCCUGGGACACACACAGCCUCACCCUUCAGGCAGGAGACUGACGGGACGAGAACAACAACAACAACAACAACAAGAGGAGGAGGAGGAGGGUGGUGGUACACAGGAGUGACUGGUGAGUGUU